Molecule: long non-coding RNA, 864 nt
Filed under: Homo sapiens (human)
Lineage: Eukaryota; Metazoa; Chordata; Mammalia; Primates; Hominidae
Description: HSALNT0192252
Source: RNAcentral
CUUUGCUCCAAAAUCGGAGUGGGCACCGGGAGCCGGGAGAGGCCAGGCAGUAGGAGCAGGCACUUCAGAGCCUGCAGGGGAAGGGGGCUUCCCGGGCCCCCUAGCGCAGGCAUGUCCAGGUCUGUAGCUGAGACUAGUUGGCUGCAGCUGGGAGGGCUGGCCUCCCGACCCUCCAAUUCAGAAAAGGGCGGGGAUCCCUCCUGUUCCUGGCUCCAGGUGGCUCUGUGGAGCCCCUGCGCGCCUCCCCCACUGCAACCUGCGUCAUGGCAGCAGCUGCUCUAGAUAGGCCACAGCUGCCAUCAAAAGCAUAGCGCUUUCUCUGGCUGGUAGCGAAGGAAAAAGAGAUUAAAAGCACGAGAAAGACUCAACCCACUGACCCACCGUUGCUGGCUUGAUGGUAAAGAGGACAAUGUGGGGAAAGCAUUCGAAGAAAAUCACUUCUGCCAACAAUCAGUGAGUUUGGAGGUGGACCCCGAGACUUAGCUGACAGCCCCAGCAGAUAUAAUACGCUGAUUCAAGUUUAAUGAGACCCUGAGAAGAGAAUCCAGUCAAGGUGCUUUAGACUUCAGACUUUCAGAAGUUCAGACCUUCAGAACUGUGAGAUUAUAAACAGGUGCUGCAAAGGGAAAUUAUGUCUAGCAUAAGACACAAUCUCUGACAUUGAAGAACUUACAAUUGAAUUGAGGAAAUAACAUAUCUCCGGACAACUUAACAAGACCAGCAAGGUAGUUCCUCUACAAGCCUGGAGGAUCCACAGCAUAACUGGUUUUGCAGUGCCUCCUAAAACAGAAAUGGCUGCAGUGACCAAAGACUUAGAUCACAACACCCAAAUCCCUGUGAAUACAUGGAAAAGCCUACCCAAGA